UACAGAGGUCCCGAGCGUUGUUCGGAUUCACUGGGCGUAAAGGGUGCGUAGGUGGCGAGGUAAGUCGGAUGUGAAAGCUCGGAGCUCAACUCCGAAAUGGCAUUGGAAACUACCUUGCUCGAGGGUUGGAGGGGGGACUGGAAUGCUUGGUGUAGCAGUGAAAUGCGUAGAUAUCAGGAGGAACACCGGUGGCGAAGGCGGGUCUCUGGGCCGUAACUGACGCUGAGGAGCGAAAGCGUGGGGAGCGAACAGG
Molecule: ribosomal RNA, 253 nt
Filed under: uncultured bacterium
Lineage: Bacteria
Description: partial 16S ribosomal RNA
Rfam family: Bacterial small subunit ribosomal RNA
Source: RNAcentral